This 1292-nucleotide unclassified non-coding RNA is filed under the name Hevea brasiliensis (rubber tree). The record is from RNAcentral. Lineage: Eukaryota; Viridiplantae; Streptophyta; Magnoliopsida; Malpighiales; Euphorbiaceae.
UUUUUUCCACUUAAUUAAAAUCUAGCGUUUUCGAAGCCGUGCAGAUCGCUGACUUUAUUCAACGACUUCUUCAUCAGGGCUACCUUAGCCAGCUUUUCAGCCGCUCUCCAAGCUGAAGUAGGCGUGAGCGGCUCUCCAUUCUCGUCAAUCAUAACCAUUGUCUCCCUCUCGCUUCCUCUCCGCCGUUGGAUCAUCAUCUGCUGCUGGUGCUGCUCUAGCCGAUGCUGUUUAAUCCGUUGUAACUCCGCAAGCUCAGCCUCUAACCCUCUAACGUACUCAUCAGCGCAUAUGGAGCUGGAUUGUAAUAUCAGAGCCCGAGACGAUGCCAGCAAGUGGUGCGCGCUUGUGAAAUCGUUGUGCACCACCAGUCUUCGAGUUUCGGCUAUGGCCCGAGUGGUGAGGAAAUGAUUCCUCAGACGUUCGAUUUUGGGUGCCGAAGAUCGCACGGCGUGAGGACGGGGGACGAGUAGGGCCCGAUCGCGGCCGUAUACAACCUCCUGGGUGGCGGGGUCCUUGUAAAGGCAACGAACAGAUAUCACGUGGUGGAACCCAACAGCUGAAGAUGGGACCCUCAACUCCACCAACAAUUCCCUCUCUUCUUCCGCGUACAAAUCGCCUAGCCGCACCGAGCCAGAGCUGAGAACGGUGGGCCUAGCGUUGCACGAAUACACGGCUAAUAUCUCAGCUGGCGCUGAGCCGGAAGCAAAGCUAAGCUGAACUCUCAAGUCUUGUACUACCACACUCAGCAAACCACCCACGCAUUUAGCAAACGCGUCCUCAGCCGGCUCGUGGCUGUAGCCGCCGCUUUGACCAAACCCAAACGCAUGAACUGGGAUCUCAAUAUGAGCAAAUCGGGUGGACGAAACAUGGCCUGAGGCAUGCCGUUGAUUCCCAGUAUUGCUUUGGACUCUUUCAUCCUGACCGUCGGAUAGCAGUAUGAUGCUCGCAACUGGAUUCCGUUCUCUCCUGUCUUCGAGAACCUUACUUGCUUUCCUCAAAGCAUCUCCUACGCUGGUCCCUUGACCACACACGAGACGGUCAAUGAUGCGGCGAGCCGACCGCUGGCCGUGAGCCGUCAUUCUCCUCAGAGGUAACAACCUCUUAGGACUGGACGAGAAAGCCACAAUCGAUAGCCGAUCAGCCGAGCCGAGAGACGAAAUCACCAAUCUCAUGGCGCGUUUAAGCAUCUGCAAUUUAGCUCCAGUCAUGCUUCCACUUACAUCAAGAACCGUGACCAAAUCAACUGGCGCCCGAUGCAAAGGGUCCAAAAGCGGUGCCGUAUUGCUACUGCG